UGUUGGCAGAUUUUAAGAAUUUAGACAAUAAGUAGAAUACAAGUGUACUGGUUAACAAAUUUAAAAUUUUUUAUACAAACAUGCAGCUUGGAUUUCAAAAACUCCCUUCAUUCAUAUAUCGAAGUUUUCCGAAAAUCACAACGCUAUAUAUGUUUCAAUGCAAAAUCUUUCAUAUGCUUCUCAAUUAUCACAUACACAAUUUUGAC
Molecule: long non-coding RNA, 206 nt
Filed under: Mytilus galloprovincialis (Mediterranean mussel)
Lineage: Eukaryota; Metazoa; Mollusca; Bivalvia; Mytilida; Mytilidae
Source: RNAcentral